CACUGUAAAGCUAUCUAGCAUUAACCUUUUAAGUUAAAGACCGAGAAAACCUAUUCUCUACAGUGA
Saimiri boliviensis boliviensis (Bolivian squirrel monkey) is the source of this 66-nucleotide non-coding RNA. The record is from Ensembl. NCBI's taxonomy places the organism in Eukaryota, Metazoa, Chordata, Mammalia, Primates, Cebidae.